Molecule: transfer RNA, 77 nt
Filed under: Ipomoea nil (Japanese morning glory)
Lineage: Eukaryota; Viridiplantae; Streptophyta; Magnoliopsida; Solanales; Convolvulaceae
Rfam family: tRNA
About the family: Transfer RNA (tRNA) molecules are approximately 80 nucleotides in length. Their secondary structure includes four short double-helical elements and three loops (D, anti-codon, and T loops).
Source: Rfam by way of RNAcentral
GUUGAAGUAGCUCAAGUGGAUGAGACUUUAAUUAUUAAUUAAUCAAAAGAUUAUGAGUUCAAAUCCCAUCUUAAAUA